UUUGUGUUCUACUGAAGAAACAAAGUCACCUACAUCUUGGAAGCCCUUGGGGCCUGCUUUCCCAGGGAAAGAUGAUGAAGGGAAUGAAAAUAAGGAAAAAAUGAAAAACAGAAGAAUAAAAGAGCUACAGCUCAAAAAUCUCAACACAAACUGUUCCUACUGCGCUGCUACAUGGCCUACUGUUCUACCACCUAAGAGACAAGGCAAGAGAGAGCGAGGGCAAGAGAGGAGAAGAGGAAAGAGUCCCAGAGAAGGACAUGCCGAUUCCACCCAAGAGAACAACACUGGAAGAAAGAAUAGCGAAGGAGAGAUUGGAUGACAGAGUUCCAGCAGAGAAAAUAAAUGAAGAAUUUAGGUAGAGUGUUGACUUUUUACUCAACAAGAGCGAUGGAUAGUUAGUUAGAAAUACAGAAGGAAUGGACAAAAUCGGGGAGAGACCAGAAGCAGAGUUUCUAUUGAUGUAGUGAAAUGAUACUAUAUGUGUGUGUAUGCAUGUACAUAUGAACAAGAAAUAACGUGUGUGAUUUCUGUUCCACUCGCAACACCAAACAGAACUGCUAAAACAAUGAUUGUUUUCAAACAUGUUUUCCAAACACUCACCCGUUCUGUCAUUGGUCAGUCAAACGGAUGGCCCCGCCCUAAACUCAUGCUAUUUGUUGAGUCACUGUUGCUGUGUUAGGCUGGUCGGAUUUCAUAAACAAACUGAAAUGUUUUGUCCGCAUUUAUCUAAUUUGAAAGAAACCAGCCUAACAAUGGCAUAUGUAUAAUUGCCACUUCAAUUAAACUUCAGCUUUAAUGUG
Molecule: long non-coding RNA, 800 nt
Organism: Carassius auratus (goldfish)
Lineage: Eukaryota; Metazoa; Chordata; Actinopteri; Cypriniformes; Cyprinidae
Exons: 2
Source: RefSeq, a predicted model, not a curated record